Molecule: ribosomal RNA, 944 nt
Filed under: uncultured bacterium
Lineage: Bacteria
Description: bacterial SSU rRNA
Rfam family: Bacterial small subunit ribosomal RNA
Source: RNAcentral
UACGUNCCAGCAGCCGCGGUAAUACGUAGGGCGCGAGCGUUNUCCGGAAUUAUUGGGCGUAAAGAGCUCGUAGGCGGCUGGUCGCGUCUGUCGUGAANUCCUCUGGCUUAACUGGGGGCUUGCGGUGGGUACGGGCCGGCUUGAGUGCGGUAGGGGAGACCGGAACUCCUGGUGUAGCGGUGGAAUGCGCAGAUAUCAGGAAGAACACCGGUGGCGAAGGCGGGUCUCUGGGCCGUUACUGACGCUGAGGAGCGAAAGCGUGGGGAGCGAACAGGAUUAGAUACCCUGGUAGUCCACGCCGUAAACGUUGGGCACUAGGUGUGGGGGGCCUUUUCCGGGUUUUCCGCGCCGUAGCUAACGCAUUAAGUGCCCCGCCUGGGGAGUACGGCCGCAAGGCUAAAACUCAAAGGAAUUGACGGGGGCCCGCACAAGCGGCGGAGCAUGCGGAUUAAUUCGAUGCAACGCGAAGAACCUUACCAAGGCUUGACAUGUGCCGGUCGGCUCCGGAGACGGGGUUUCCUCCUUGUGGGGCCGGUUCACAGGUGGUGCAUGGUUGUCGUCAGCUCGUGUCGUGAGAUGUUGGGUUAAGUCCCGCAACGAGCGCAACCCUUGUCCCGUGUUGCCAGCACGUUGUGGUGGGGACUCGCGGGAGACUGCCGGGGUCAACUCGGAGGAAGGUGGGGAUGACGUCAAAUCAUCAUGCCCCUUAUGUCUUGGGCUUCACGCAUGCUACAAUGGCCGGUACAGAGGGCUGCGAUACCGUGAGGUGGAGCGAAUCCCUUAAAGCCGGUCUCAGUUCGGAUCGGUGUCUGCAACUCGACACCGUGAAGUUGGAGUCGCUAGUAAUCGCAGAUCAGCAACGCUGCGGUGAAUACGUUCUCGGGCCUUGUACACACCGCCCGUCACGUCAUGAAAGUCGGCAACACCCGAAGCCCGUGGCCCUA